RNAcentral lists this non-coding RNA (272 nucleotides) under Pararhodospirillum photometricum DSM 122. RNAcentral's name for it is "Bacterial small subunit ribosomal RNA". It matches the Rfam family "Bacterial small subunit ribosomal RNA", at positions 48 to 303 of the family's 1533-position model. The record is from Rfam by way of RNAcentral. Lineage: Bacteria; Pseudomonadati; Pseudomonadota; Alphaproteobacteria; Rhodospirillales; Rhodospirillaceae.
CUAACACAUGCAAGUCGAACGCAUCCUUCGGGAUGAGUGGCGCACGGGUGAGUAACACGUGGGAACGUACCUUGGAGUACGGAAUAAUCCUUGGAAACGAGGACUAAUACCGUAUACGCCCUUCGGGGGAAAGAAUUUCGCUCCAAGAUCGGCCCGCGUCCGAUUAGCUAGUUGGCGGGGUAAUGGCCCACCAAGGCGACGAUCGGUAGCUGGUCCUGACUUGGGGCGAUGCCCCAAACCCCCUUUGAUUUUUGGGCAAGGGGGAGGGGUGG